UGGGGAAUUUUGGACAAUGGGCGAAAGCCUGAUCCAGCAAUGCCGCGUGUGUGAAGAAGGCCUUCGGGUUGUAAAGCACUUUUGUCCGGAAAGAAAUCCUUGGCUCUAAUACAGUCGGGGGAUGACGGUACCGGAAGAAUAAGCACCGGCUAACUACGUGCCAGCAGCCGCGGUAAUACGUAGGGUGCAAGCGUUAAUCGGAAUUACUGGGCGUAAAGCGUGCGCAGGCGGUUUGCUAAGACCGAUGUGAAAUCCCCGGGCUCAACCUGGGAACUGCAUUGGUGACUGGCAGGCUAGAGUAUGGCAGAGGGGGGUAGAAUUCCACGUGUAGCAGUGAAAUGCGUAGAGAUGUGGAGGAAUACCGAUGGCGAAGGCAGCCCCCUGGGGCCAAAUACUGACGCUCAUGCACGAAAGCGUGGGGAGCAAACAGGAUUAGAUACCCUGGUAGUCCACGCCCUAAACGAUGUCAACUAGUUGUUGGGGAUUCAUUUCCUUAGUAACGUAGCUAACGCGUGAAGUUGACCGCCUGGGGAGUACGGUCGCAAGAUU
Molecule: ribosomal RNA, 549 nt
Filed under: uncultured bacterium
Lineage: Bacteria
Description: partial 16S ribosomal RNA
Rfam family: Bacterial small subunit ribosomal RNA
Source: RNAcentral